Molecule: ribosomal RNA, 355 nt
Filed under: uncultured bacterium
Lineage: Bacteria
Description: bacterial SSU rRNA
Rfam family: Bacterial small subunit ribosomal RNA
Source: RNAcentral
GCUCAGGACGAACGCUGGCGGCGUGCCUAACACAUGCAAGUCGAACGGAACUUUUAAAGAUGAUUUCUUCGGAAUGAAUUUUUCUAAGUUUAGUGGCGGACGGGUGAGUAACGCGUGAGUAACCUGCCUUUCAGAGGGGGAUAACGUUCUGAAAAGAACGCUAAUACCGCAUAACAUAUGAAUGUCGCAUGGCAAGCAUAUCAAAGGAGUAAUCCGCUGAGAGAUGGACUCGCGUCCGAUUAGCUAGUUGGUGGGGUAAAGGCCUACCAAGGCGACGAUCGGUAGCCGGACUGAGAGGUUGAACGGCCACAUUGGGACUGAGACACGGCCCAGACUCCUACGGGAGGCAGCAGUA